AGUGAACGCUGGCGGUAGGCCUAACACAUGCAAGUCGAACGGCAGCACAGUAAGAGCUUGCUCUUACGGGUGGCGAGUGGCGGACGGGUGAGGAAUACAUCGGAAUCUACUUUUUCGUAGGGGAUAACGUAGGGAAACUUACGCUAAUACCGCAUACGACCUACGGGUGAAAGCAGGGGAUCUUCGGACCUUGCGCGAUUGAAUGAGCCGAUGUCGGAUUAGCUAGUUGGCCGGGUAAAGGCCCACCAAGGCGACGAUCCGUAGCUGGUCUGAGAGGAUGAUCAGCCACACUGGAACUGAGACACGGUCCAGACUCCUACGGGAGGCAGCAGUGGGGAAUAUUGGACAAUGGGCGCAAGCCUGAUCCAGCCAUACCGCGUGGGUGAAGAAGGCCUUCGGGUUGUAAAGCCCUUUUGUUGGGAAAGAAAAGCAGCAGGUUAAUACCCCGCUGUUCUGACGGUACCCAAAGAAUAAGCACCGGCUAACUUCGUG
This 492-nucleotide ribosomal RNA is filed under the name uncultured bacterium. Its description in RNAcentral is "partial 16S ribosomal RNA". It matches the Rfam family "Bacterial small subunit ribosomal RNA", at positions 29 to 507 of the family's 1533-position model. The record is from RNAcentral.